GAUAGCUGGUUCUCCCCGAAAGCUAUUUAGGUAGCGCCUCGUGAAUUCAUCUCCGGGGGUAGAGCACUGUUUCGGCUAGGGGGCCAUCCCGGCUUACCAACCCGAUGCAAACUGCGAAUACCGGAGAAUGUUAUCACGGGAGACACACGGCGGGUGCUAACGUCCGUCGUGAAGAGGGAAACAACCCAGACCGCCAGCUAAGGUCCCAAAGUCAUGGUUAAGUGGGAAACGAUGUGGGAAGGCCCAGACAGCCAGGAUGUUGGCUUAGAAGCAGCCAUCAUUUAAAGAAAGCGUAAUAGCUCACUGGUCGAGUCGGCCUGCGCGGAAGAUGUAACGGGGCUAAACCAUGCACCGAAGCUGCGGCAGCGACGCUGAUGCGUUGUUGGGUAGGGGAGCGUUCUGUAAGCUUG
This 410-nucleotide ribosomal RNA is filed under the name Salmonella enterica subsp. enterica serovar Kentucky. RNAcentral describes it as "bacterial LSU rRNA". It matches the Rfam family "Bacterial large subunit ribosomal RNA", at positions 844 to 1251 of the family's 2925-position model. Lineage: Bacteria; Pseudomonadati; Pseudomonadota; Gammaproteobacteria; Enterobacterales; Enterobacteriaceae. The record is from RNAcentral.